UACCAGCUCUCCGAGUGGUAGGGAUGAUUAUUGGGCUUAAAGCGUCCGUAGCCGGCUUAGCAAGUUUCUUGUUAAAUUCAGCGACCUAAUCGUUGAGCCGCGGGAAAUACUACUAGGCUAGGAGGCGGGAGAGGUCGACGGUACUUCUGGGGUAGGGGUGAAAUCCUAUAAUCCCGGGAGGACCACCAGUGGCGAAGGCUGUCGACUAGAACGCGCUCGACGGUGAGGGACGAAAGCUGGGGGAGCGAACCGGAUUAGAUACCCGGGUAGUCCCAGCUGUAAACGAUGCGGGCUAGGUGUUGGGGUGGCUACGUGCCACUUCAGUGCCGCAGGGAAGCCAUUAAGCCCGCCGCCUGGGGAGUACGGCCGCAAGGCUGAAACUUAAAGGAAUUGGCGGGGGAGCACCACAGGGCGUGAAGCUUGCGGUUC
RNAcentral lists this ribosomal RNA (429 nucleotides) under uncultured archaeon. Its description in RNAcentral is "bacterial SSU rRNA". It matches the Rfam family "Archaeal small subunit ribosomal RNA", at positions 474 to 903 of the family's 1478-position model. The record is from RNAcentral.